CCCCCACCCUUCUCUCUUGUGGCUCGAGUAUGAAUGGGAGAAAGCUGCAUUCCUCAGCUUGCCCCUUUCUCCAGACUGUUACUGGGAGGGGCGUCAUGGUUUUAUGAUUCUUGUUUAUUGGUAUUCCACAUCAUAACAUCAUGUAGUGCACUGGGAGUUAAAGAGUUAAUGCUCCAGUUCUGGGCACCUGUCUGCUAGAGAAGAGCUACAUUGCUGAAGAGCAGAUUGCUGUGGAGACCAGCUUCAGGGCAGUUCUGUCUUGUAGCAUCAUCCAUCACAAAGACCUGUCAAGGCAACAGCCUGGAGGCACUUCACAGCAACCCUCAGGGUUCCCUACACUGCGUCUACCCAGUCAUCCUAACUACCUGAAGACUGACAGUAGUGUGCUGAGAGCUAAGAGCAGAAAUUCAGGUCACAUCUAAUCGUGGAGAGAUAGUAUUACUCCUGUACAACACACGGAACUAAGUUAUAUUCAGUGCUGGCAGUUCAUAGAAUCAUAGAAUGGCCUGGGUUGAAAAGGACCACAAUGAUCAUCGAGUUUCAACCCCCCUGCUAUGUGCAGGGUCGCCAACCAGCAGACCAGGCUGCCCAGAGCCACAUCCAGCCUGGCCUUGAAUGCCUCCAGGGAUGGGGCAUCCACAGCCUCCUUGGGCAGCCUGUUCCAGUGCGUCACCACCUUCUGGGUGAAAAACUUCCUCCUAAAGUUCUAAUAUCCAGACCUCCUUUCAAGCGAUAAAAAGCCUUUUGGAUUUGUUGGUUUCCAAUAAAAAAUACAA
Gallus gallus (chicken) is the source of this 776-nucleotide long non-coding RNA. RefSeq lists it as uncharacterized. NCBI's taxonomy places the organism in Eukaryota, Metazoa, Chordata, Aves, Galliformes, Phasianidae. The transcript has 3 exons. The record is from RefSeq and is a predicted model, not a curated record.